CGGGGUGCACCAGGCGCGAAAACUCCACAAUGUACGGAAGUACGAUGGGGUUAUCUCGAGUGCAGUCCGAUAAGGGCUGCUUUUCCAUAGAGUAAUAUCCUGUGGGAAUAAGAGGGGGGCAAGACUGGUGUCAGCCGCCGCGGUAACACCAGCCCCUCGAGUGGUGGGGACUAUUAUUUGGCCUAAAGCGUCCGUAGCUGGCUGUAUCCGUCCCCCGUUAAAUCCAGCGUCCUAAGCGUUGGACCGCGGGUGAUACCAUACAGCUAGAGGGUGGGAUAGGUGAGCGGUAUUUCUGGGGUAGGGGCGAAAUCCUUUGAUCCCAGGAGGACCACCAGUGGCGAAGGCUGCUCACUAGAACACGCCUGACGGUCAGGGACGAAAGCUGGGGCAGCGAACCGGAUUAGAUACCCGGGUAGUCCCAGCUGUAAACGAUGCUAGCUAGGUGUUGGGUCGGCCACGCGCCGCCCCAGUGCCGCAGGGAAGCCGUUAAGCUAGCCGCCUGGGGAGUACGGCCGCAAGGCUGAAACUUAAAGGAAUUGG
Molecule: ribosomal RNA, 540 nt
Filed under: uncultured archaeon
Lineage: Archaea
Description: bacterial SSU rRNA
Rfam family: Archaeal small subunit ribosomal RNA
Source: RNAcentral